RNAcentral lists this ribosomal RNA (434 nucleotides) under uncultured bacterium. RNAcentral describes it as "partial 16S ribosomal RNA". It matches the Rfam family "Bacterial small subunit ribosomal RNA", at positions 29 to 507 of the family's 1533-position model. The record is from RNAcentral.
ACGAACGCUGGCGGCAGGCCUAACACAUGCAAGUCGAGCGGACAUCUUCGGAUGUUAGCGGCGGACGGGUGAGUAACGCGUGGGAACGUGCCCUUUGCUUCGGAAUAGCCUCGGGAAACUGGGAGUAAUACCGGAUGUACCCUUUGGGGGAAAGAUUUAUCGGCAAAGGAUCGGCCCGCGUUGGAUUAGGUAGUUGGUGGGGUAAUGGCCUACCAAGCCGACGAUCCAUAGCUGGUUUGAGAGGAUGAUCAGCCACACUGGGACUGAGACACGGCCCAGACUCCUACGGGAGGCAGCAGUGGGGAAUCUUAGACAAUGGGGGAAACCCUGAUCUAGCCAUGCCGCGUGAGCGAUGAAGGCCUUAGGGUUGUAAAGCUCUUUCACCGGGGAAGAUAAUGACGGUACCCGGAGAAGAAGCCCCGGCUAACUCCGUG